Molecule: long non-coding RNA, 769 nt
Filed under: Homo sapiens (human)
Lineage: Eukaryota; Metazoa; Chordata; Mammalia; Primates; Hominidae
Description: HSALNT0204644
Source: RNAcentral
UUGUGGCUUAGGAACAAUAGGCUAUACCAUAUAGCUGAGGUGUACAGUAGUCUAUGCCAUCUAGAUUUGUGUAAAUAUACUCUAUGAUGUUCCCACAGUGUCAAAAUCAUCUAACAACACAUUUCUCUGAAUAUAUUCCUGUCUGUAAUCCACACAUGACUGUAUCUGCAACACAUUAAAGAAGAGAAUAAUUUGAAAUAAUUUUGAAAAGGUAAUGAGAGGAAAUCAUGAAGUGCCUUACAGACCAUAUUAAGAAAUUUACGUUUUAUUCUCAGGAACAUAGAAAGUCACUGGGUGGUUUGAAUCAGGUGAUUGAUAAGGUCAAAUUUAUAUUGUAGAAGAACCAUAUUGUCAGUCAUAUGAAGAUCUGCUACAGUGUCUGUACUGUGCUUUGAAAAUACGUUUAUACUGACAAAGGGAUGUUUGUGUGUGUGUGUAUAUGUGUGUGUGUGUGUGUGUGUGUAUUUGUUUACUUAACAACUAUAGGGCCUAAAUCCGUAAUUCUCAUUCCUGGAGUGGUUGAUCAACAUCUGAAAGAUUGAUCUGGAGUCUACACUAUGGAAAUAAUUCUGCCCAGCCCUUCACAUAAACCUGUUUAACAACAAUGGUUACUUCACUACUAACAAGAACAAUAAUGCCAGAGAAGAGAUAGCUUCAAUGAGCCUGCAUGAUUGCUUUUCCAACUAAAAUGAGUAGAAAAUGAAAACACUUUAAAUGAAGUGUCUGAAAUAAACAUUUAAUUUGGGAUAAGACAGCAACCGCAUAUAUA